CAGGAAAACUAUAAAUAUACGCUUUUCUUGGCCAACUCCUGAAAGGGCGAGACUCAUAGUCUGUGUGUUUUUCUUGGACGACAGUGGACAAAAUAAAGAAACGUGCUUUCAAGGUUUCCUACCGAGGUGCUGGUAUACCACCCAGUUCCCGGAGUUACACGCCAUGGGGACGAUGAUUUGUAAGGGCAGUAGAAUACUAUACCUAUGGCUCUCCCUGUUGUGAUCAUGUUCUCGUUAAUGCUGCCAAGAUGGAG
This 254-nucleotide long non-coding RNA is filed under the name Lepisosteus oculatus (spotted gar). Its description in RNAcentral is "lncRNA (ENSLOCG00000022577.1)". The record is from RNAcentral. Lineage: Eukaryota; Metazoa; Chordata; Actinopteri; Semionotiformes; Lepisosteidae.